AUACGGAGGAUGCGAGCGUUAUCCGGAUUUAUUGGGUUUAAAGGGAGCGUAGGUGGGAUAUUAAGUCAGCUGUGAAAGUUUGGGGCUCAACCUUAAAAUUGCAGUUGAUACUGGUUUCCUUGAGUACGGUACAGGUGGGCGGAAUUCGUGGGGUAGCGGUGAAAUGCUUAGAUAUCACGAAGAACUCCGAUCGCGAAGGCAGCUCACCGGGCCGGAACUGACACUGAUGCUCGAAAGUGCGGGUAUCAAACAGGAUUAGAUACCCUGGUAGUCCGCACAGUAAACGAUGAAUACUCGCUGUUUGCGAUACACGGUAAGCGGCCAAGCGAAAGCGUUAAGUAUUCCACCUGGGGAGUACGCCGGCAACGGUGAAACUCAAAUGAAUUGGCGGGG
Molecule: ribosomal RNA, 393 nt
Filed under: uncultured bacterium
Lineage: Bacteria
Description: partial 16S ribosomal RNA
Rfam family: Bacterial small subunit ribosomal RNA
Source: RNAcentral